RNAcentral lists this ribosomal RNA (388 nucleotides) under uncultured bacterium SA6. RNAcentral describes it as "bacterial SSU rRNA". It matches the Rfam family "Bacterial small subunit ribosomal RNA", at positions 29 to 439 of the family's 1533-position model. The record is from RNAcentral.
AAUGAACGUUGGCGGCGUGGAUUAGGCAUGCAAGUCGAGCGCUCAUAGCAAUAUGGGAGCGGCGAACGGCGUAGGAAUUCAUAGGAACGUACCCUCAGGUCGGGGAUAGCUACGGGAAACUGUAGGUAAUACCCGAUGAUCUCUGCGGAGCAAAGGUGUGAUUCCGCCUGAGGAGCGGCUUAUGUGAUAUUAGCUAGUUGGUGGGGUAAUGGCUUACCAAGGCGAAGAUGUCUAGGGGGUGUGAGAGCAUGGCCCCCACGACCGGAACUGAGAUACUGUCCGGACACCUACGGGUGGCUGCAGUCGAGAAUCUUCCGCAAUGGACGAAAGUCUGACGGAGCGACGCCGCGUGCGGGAUGAAGGCCCUUGGGUUGUAAACCGCUUUCGG